RNAcentral lists this ribosomal RNA (253 nucleotides) under uncultured bacterium. Its description in RNAcentral is "partial 16S ribosomal RNA". It matches the Rfam family "Archaeal small subunit ribosomal RNA", at positions 474 to 727 of the family's 1478-position model. The record is from RNAcentral.
UACCAGCACCCCGAGUGGUCGGGACGUUUAUUGGGCCUAAAGCAUCCGUAGUCGGUUCUACAAGUCUUCCGUUAAAUCCACCUGCUUAACAGAUGGGCUGCGGAAGAUACUAUAAGACUAGGAGGCAGGAGAGGCAAGCGGUACUCAGUGGGUAGGGGUAAAAUCCGUUGAUCCAUUGAAGACCACCAGUGGCGAAGGCGGCUUGCCAGAAUGCGCUCGACGGUGAGGGAUGAAAGCUGGGGGAGCAAACCGG